GGGGAAUUUUGGACAAUGGGCGCAAGCCUGAUCCAGCAAUGCCGCGUGCAGGAAGAAGGCCUUCGGGUUGUAAACUGCUUUUGUCAGGGAAGAAAUCCUCUAGGUUAAUACCCUUGGGGGGAUGACGGUACCUGAAGAAUAAGCACCGGCUAACUACGUGCCAGCAGCCGCGGUAAUACGUAGGGUGCAAGCGUUAAUCGGAAUUACUGGGCGUAAAGCGUGCGCAGGCGGCUUUGCAAGACAGAUGUGAAAUCCCCGGGCUCAACCUGGGAACUGCAUUUGUGACUGCAAGGCUAGAGUACGGUAGAGGGGGAUGGAAUUCCGCGUGUAGCAGUGAAAUGCGUAGAUAUGCGGAGGAACACCAAUGGCGAAGGCAAUCCCCUGGACCUGUACUGACGCUCAUGCACGAAAGCGUGGGGAGCAAAC
This 426-nucleotide ribosomal RNA is filed under the name uncultured bacterium. RNAcentral describes it as "bacterial SSU rRNA". It matches the Rfam family "Bacterial small subunit ribosomal RNA", at positions 356 to 773 of the family's 1533-position model. The record is from RNAcentral.